Long non-coding RNA from Sinocyclocheilus rhinocerous, 331 nucleotides. RefSeq lists it as uncharacterized. The transcript is spliced from 3 exons. The record is from RefSeq and is a predicted model, not a curated record. Lineage: Eukaryota; Metazoa; Chordata; Actinopteri; Cypriniformes; Cyprinidae.
CUACCUCUGUGUCCAUAUUUGGUUAUUCCUGUUCUCAUUAUUAGUUAAUCACCUCAUUGUGCUCACCUGUCUGCCCUCCUUAUCUGCCCUAUAUCAGUUCCUGUGGAUUGUGUUCUAGUUUGUCGGUUAUUGUGAAUUGUGCGCGUGCGUUCAACGUUAUUAAAAGUCACCUGCUGAGCGACUCAGGAUACCCUUUAAAACGCUGGCUUCUCACCACUUACAGCAGGGACUGCUUUGCUAACUUACAUUUUGGAGACUCUUGCACUCUGCGCAAACCCUGUGUCUAGUGAGGGAGAAGUCUCAUCUGGAGGACACGGGGAGAUGUCCUGAG